Molecule: long non-coding RNA, 680 nt
Filed under: Oryctolagus cuniculus (rabbit)
Lineage: Eukaryota; Metazoa; Chordata; Mammalia; Lagomorpha; Leporidae
Description: lncRNA (ENSOCUG00000034123.1)
Source: RNAcentral
AUGCAUCCAUCCUGUAGUUGUCAAGAUGAAUCUGCUGUAGCCAUUACUUUGUUGGUAAAACUGGGAGGCUUUAAGAAAACACUGUCAAGUGAUUAUGAAAAAAAAAAUGUAUUCGACUGUUCUGCCCCUGCCAGGCUUGUGAGCACAACAGUUGGAGAAGAAACAAAGUGGAGACAGGAGCUGCCAAGCGAUGCCUGCUGCGAGCGGGAGGCCUUUUCUGGAUUGCUAACAACAGGGACCACGAUCAGGAAACUGGUCACUAAGCCUGUGCCUGCGUCCAGGAUGCGGCAGCCUCCUGCUUGGAUUUUGAACAGCAAUGUUAUACCUAGGCUCCAGUUUCUCCCUCCUGCUUUUCGCAGAGGUUCUAUGCUCACAGGAAAUGAGAGCAGAAAUCCAGUGAGGAGGACAGAUGCCUCAGAUACAGAGGAACUUGAGUUAAUGGCUCAGUGGCCAGACAUACUCAUUGGACCUCCCUAGCCAACUGAAGCCUGCCAGAUGCCAUAGAUAAGUCAGCAUCCUACACCAGGAUGCCUCUGCACCUGCGUGGGAGGUGGGAGACCUAGAAGAAGCUCUUGGCUCCUGGCUUCCAAUAGAAACCCCCCACCCCGCCUGCCUCUCCUCUCUCUGUGUAACUCUGACUUUCAAAUAAAUAAACCUUUAAAAAAUGAAAUAAGUAUUUA